This 1331-nucleotide ribosomal RNA is filed under the name uncultured marine eukaryote. Its description in RNAcentral is "SSU rRNA". It matches the Rfam family "Eukaryotic small subunit ribosomal RNA", at positions 432 to 1776 of the family's 1831-position model. The record is from RNAcentral.
GCGCGCAAUUACCCAAUCCUGACUCAGGGAGGUAGUGACAAGAAAUAACAAUAAACCGGCUUAUGCCGGUUUAAUUGGAAUGAGUACAAUUUAAACAUCUUAACGAGGAACAAUUGGAGGGCAAGUCUGGUGCCAGCAGCCGCGGUAAUUCCAGCUCCAAUAGCGUAUACUAAAGUUGUUGCAGUUAAAAAGCUCGUAGUUGGAUUUCUGUGGGGACGGAGCGGCCGGCCGCAACACGCGGUUCGAGCUAGCGCUUUCCCUACAUCCUGCCGCGAACCGUGCUACCAUUAGUUUGGUGGCGCCGGGGAUCGGCUCGAUUACUUUGAGAAAAAUAGAGUGUUCAAAGCAGGCCACACGCCUUGAAUAAGUUAGCAUGGAAUAAUAACUAAGGACUUCGGUUCUAUUUUGUUGGUGUUCGGGACUGAAGUAAUGAUUGAUAGGGACAGUUGGGGCGGUCUGUAUUCCAAAGCGAGAGGUGAAAUUCUUAGACCUUCGGAAGACAAACAGCUGCGAAAGCGUUCCGCAAGGAUGUUCCCUUUGAUCAAGAACGAAAGUUGGGGGAUCGAAGACGAUCAGAUACCGUCGUAGUCUCAACUAUAAACUAUACCAGCUAGGGAUCGGCCAACGUUAUUUCAAACCGACUUGGUCGGCACCUUAUGAGAAAUCAAAGCAUCUGGGUUCCGGGGGGAGUAUGGUCGCAAGGCUGAAACUUAAAGGAAUUGACGGAAGGGCACCACCAGCCGUGGAGCCUGUGGCUUAAUUUGACUCAACACGGGAAAACUUACCAGGUCCAGACAUAGUAAGGAUUGACAGAUUGAUAGCUCUUUCUUGAUUCUGUGGGUGGUGGUGCAUGGCCGUUCUUAGUUGGUGGAGUGAUUUGUCUGGUUAAUUCCGUUAACGAACGAGACCCCAGCCUGCUAAAUAGCGCGCGUGAGCUUUGCUCGCGGCGAGCUUCUUAGAGGGACUAUGAUGCGCGAUAGCACAUGGAAGUUUGGGGCAAUAACAGGUCUGUGAUGCCCUUAGAUGUUCUGGGCCGCACACGGGCUACACUGGCGCCUGCAACGAGCAUAUCAGCUGGCCCGAGAGGGUCUUGGCUAAUCUUUUGAACCGGCGCCGUGCUUGGGAUUGACCUUUGCAAUUGUUGGUCAUGCAACGAGGAAUGCCUUGUAAACGCGAGUCAUCAGCUCGCAUUGAAUACGUCCCUGCCCAUUGUACACACCGCCCGUCGCUCCUACCGAUGAAUGUUCCGAUGAAAUUUUCGGAGAGCACCUGUGAACUUGGCUCUGCCUUGCGAACGGGAGGCUCAAAGUCACUAAAAUCUGAACAUUGAG